GCGGCGUGCUUAACACAUGCAAGUCGAACGGAAAGGCCCUGCUUUUGUGGGGUGCUCGAGUGGCGAACGGGUGAGUAACACGUGAGUAACCUGCCCUUGACUUUGGGAUAACUUCAGGAAACUGGGGCUAAUACCGGGUAGGAGCUCCUGCUGCAUGGUGGGGGUUGGAAAGUUUCGGCGGUUGGGGAUGGACUCGCGGCUUAUCAGCUUGUUGGUGGGGUAGUGGCUUACCAAGGCUUUGACGGGUAGCCGGCCUGAGAGGGUGACCGGCCACAUUGGGACUGAGAUACGGCCCAGACUCCUACGAGAGGCAGCAGUGGGGAAUAUUGCACAAUGGGCGGAAGCCUGAUGCAGCAACGCCGCGUGCGGGAUGACGGCCUUCGGGUUGUAAACCGCUUUCGCCUGUGACGAAGCGUGAGUGACGGUAAUGGGUAAAGAAGCACCGGCUAACUACGUGCCAGCAGCCGCGGUGAUACGUAGGGUGCGAGCGUUGUCCGGAUUUAUUGGGCGUAAAGGGCUCGUAGGUGGUUGAUCGCGUCGGAAGUGUAAUCUUGGGGCUUAACCCUGAGCGUGCUUUCGAUACGGGUUGACUUGAGGAAGGUAGGGGAGAAUGGAAUUCCUGGUGGAGCGGUGGAAUGCGCAGAUAUCAGGAGGAACACCAGUGGCGAAGGCGGUUCUCUGGGCCUUUCCUGACGCUGAGGAGCGAAAGCGUGGGGAGCGAACAGGCUUAGAUACCCUGGUAGUCCACGCUGUAAACGGUGGGUACUAGGUGUGGGGUCCAUUCCACGGGUUCCGUGCCGUAGCUAACGCUUUAAGUACCCCGCCUGGGGAGUACGGCCGCAAGGCUAAAACUCAAAGGAAUUGACGGGGCCCCGCACAAGCGGCGGAGCAUGCGGAUUAAUUCGAUGCAACGCGUAGAACCUUACCUGGGUUUGACAUGGAUCGGGAGUGCUCAGAGAUGGGUGUGCCUCUUUUGGGGUCGGUUCACAGGUGGUGCAUGGCUGUCGUCAGCUCGUGUCGUGAGAUGUUGGGUUAAGUCCCGCAACGAGCGCAACCCUUGUUCACUGUUGCCAGCACGUUAUGGUGGGGACUCAGUGGAGACCGCCGGGGUCAACUCGGAGGAAGGUGGGGAUGACGUCAAGUCAUCAUGCCCCUUAUGUCCAGGGCUUCACGCAUGCUACAAUGGCUGGUACAGAGAGUGGCGAGCCUGUGAGGGUGAGCGAAUCUCGGAAAGCCGGUCUCAGUUCGGAUUGGGGUCUGCAACUCGACCUCAUGAAGUCGGAGUCGCUAGUAAUCGCAGAUCAGCAACGCUGCGGUGAAUACGUUCCCGGGGCUUGUACACACCGCCCGUCAAGUCAUGAAAGCUGGUAACACCCGAAGCCGGUGGCCUAACCGUUGUGGGGGAGCCGUCGAAGGUGGGACUGGUGAUUAGGACUAAGUCGUA
RNAcentral lists this ribosomal RNA (1444 nucleotides) under uncultured organism. Its description in RNAcentral is "16S ribosomal RNA". It matches the Rfam family "Bacterial small subunit ribosomal RNA". The record is from RNAcentral.